Molecule: transfer RNA, 72 nt
Filed under: Bos taurus (domestic cattle)
Lineage: Eukaryota; Metazoa; Chordata; Mammalia; Artiodactyla; Bovidae
Also listed under: 2 other names
Rfam family: tRNA
About the family: Transfer RNA (tRNA) molecules are approximately 80 nucleotides in length. Their secondary structure includes four short double-helical elements and three loops (D, anti-codon, and T loops).
Source: Rfam by way of RNAcentral
UCCCUGGUGGCUCAAAUGGUAAAGAAUCUGCUUGCAAUGCAGGAGACACAGAUUCAAUCCCUGGCUUGGGAA